RNA transcript from Camelina sativa (false flax), 1844 nucleotides. It is a transcript of the gene named transcription factor VOZ2-like, with no coding region annotated. NCBI's taxonomy places the organism in Eukaryota, Viridiplantae, Streptophyta, Magnoliopsida, Brassicales, Brassicaceae. The record is from RefSeq and is a predicted model, not a curated record.
UAUUUCUUUUCUUUUUAUUUCUAAUUUUUCCCCAUUCCCUAAAUUUGGGAUCCGGCGGAGCAGUGACGGUGGUCGCGCUUCCUUCUUAUUUCUGGUAUCCUUCUUCAUUUUGUGUUGGAGACAGUCUUCUUCGGAAUUACUACGGCAAAGUUGUUGGCAUUUUGGGGUCACGUCAGGUCAUGCAUGCAUGCGUUACCGGUGUUAUCCAGGAUUAUCAGUCCCAUUCUUGCAAGUCCUACUUGGCCAUCAGGCUCGGCUACUCCUGGUAACAAAGAAGGACGGACGAGGAAAAUUCGCUGCCUUUACUGAAGCAACAAGGUGUUGGGCUCGAGGGCAUUGCGAAAAGUUAGGGAGGAUAUUCCACCUCUGCUGCUUACUGUUGGUGGAAAUUUGGUGGUCUUUUUUCUCUAUUUUACUUUGUUAUCCCUUUAUUUAACACAUAUGACUAUGGAUAUAUCUAUUUUGAUAUUUCAUUAUGCCAAUGUAUUUAGGUUUGGUACGUUUAAAUCCAAGACUCCGUUGCCCAUAGAAGAUUAUUGGAACGCUCUAUUCAGGAGAAGACAAUAUUUCUUCUGUUGUUUGUUUGGAAAUUAAAGCAUUCAGAGGACCAAGAUACAUCAAUUUUGACUGGCGAAUAGUAAUACAAUGUCAAACUCGUUAAAAGGAAAACCUGUGCAGGUCCUCCCCAGGGAAAAUGGUGUGCGGUACCCAUGGAACUUCAUCCUCAGCAAGUGCUUUGGGAGGAAGAAAAGUAACAUCCACUAUCGGGUUCCAGGUCUCGAAACUAAUUUGUUCCCGGAGAAUACAGAGGUCACUAAGGGUGUCUGGAAAUGAGGCAAUAAGAGCUGGAUGGGAGGUGCAUACAAGUUAGAAAUCUGCAUACAAAUUGUUGUGCGGUUCAUUCAUUACGACUUACAUUGUAUGAGAACCAUAUACUUUUUUACUUCUGGGAGAUAAUGGAGCUGGCAAAAGCACAAGAAUAUCAAUGCUUGUCGGCCUUCUUCGUCCAACGUCUGGAGAUCCCCUUCUACAUGGUAACUGUAAAGAUGAGAUACGGAAAAAAAUAGGUGUUCACCCUCAGCAUGAUAAUCCUCUUUCCAGAACUGAAGAAACGGAGGAAGGAGAGACCAAGCGCCAGUUUCUCUAAACUGAAUCUUGAUUUCCUAAAAUACUCGAUUGCGUUUGCUUUGGUUUCUGAGGAGAGGGAGAUGUCAAACCAUCCGAAGAUGACAUGUGUGUCUUCGGCGCAUCAGAAUUUGGAGGAGAAGCUAAGAGAACUUCAGGAGAAGUUCUGUCAUCUUCAGGCUGCUAGGAAAGAAGGGCGCCAUGGUGACCUUACUCUUUUGGAAGCCCAAAUCUCGCAGAAUCUUCGUGAGUGGCAAGCUGAACUCACUGCUCCUUCUCCAGAAUCUUCUCUUCUGGUUCGUACUCCAUUACUUGUACUUCUCAGCUGGUUAUAUGACUAGAGAUUAGCCUCGUUUGAUGACAAAUUAGCUAGCUACAGUUUCUGCUCCUUCUCCAGAAUCUUCUUCUCUUCUGGGUGAAGGUAUUAGCCAAUUCGUUGAGGAGUUUGCAGAAGCAACUAGUUCGUUAUAGGAGCAUGCUGCACCAAAGCCUGAGGGUUUGUACAAAUCCAUUAUUAUCAGGUCAUACAUACUACAUUCUUUAGAUGUUAAAAAAUGCACACUCAAAUGAGUAUAGAAAAAAGCAUCUCAGGCCUUAGAUAUGAAAACUUCAUUCAUGUUUUCUAAAUUAGACUGAACUCUGUAUCCAAAACUCCAAAAAAAAUGAAGAUGUGACAAAAAGAAUACUUUUGAGUAAAUCUACGACUCUUGAGUUUUCAA